ACGUAAACAGAUUGUCCAAUCAUAUGUGUGAGGGCGGGACCUAAGUGAGGCAGGUGAAAGGUCAGCCUCCGGGGUUCGACUGCUAGUUUGCUAUUGUUGAAGGAGGCUGAAGGAGCUAAGCUAAAGAGAAACAGUGAUAAUAUACGUGCGGAUGCAGAGUCGACUUUAUUGUUUUGGACUGUUUAACCUCCGGUGAACGGAGAGGAAUUAUCUGGACUCUCUGACAUUGACGUUGGUCGAGUUUUGCCAGAGUUCUCCAUGUUGCCCGGCGCAGUGAAGCACCUUUAAACUCAGAUGUCCAGUGGUACCCGCUUGGUCACGGACAAGGCCUCAUCCAUCCCUCACACCUAAGCUAACUCAAAGGCCUCUGUGAGUAAACUGUAGCAGAACCAAGUCCACUUAUUGCGUCUUACAACGUACAGAACUGGGGAUUGAAGAGAGGAGGCAGGACUAUAAAAAGUGGUAGAGAAGAUGAGUCAAAAAUCCAGUUUCAGACUUUGGAAAGCCGCUCCCUGUCAGCUGUUUAAUGUGCUCAUAGGAGGAUAAAACGCUGCCUUCACUUCUCCUGCCAGCAGCUCAGGCAUAACGGAGAAGAAGCAGAGACGGUAAGGAAUAGCUGAAAAAGACCGGAGAAAGCAGUGGGAGGGGGUCUGGAAGUGGUACGCAUGGCUGGAGCAAAGCAGCAAGCACUCGUCCAAGCAAACUAGCGGGAGCUAUCGAUCCUUUUCUCCUUUUUCUUUUUUUUUUGUGAGUGUUUUCAACCUGUUGUCUCCCGUCGCUCUGUAAGGCCGGUGUUUUGAGAGCCCACCUGAGACGAAGGGCAGCUCAUGAGUUUCGUCCCUUUUUAUUUCCAUUUCUUUCUUCCACCCACAUCCCUCUUUCCCUCACAGUUUCCUUUCUUUUCUUUUUUCUUUGGCCAAAGAUUUGCUUUUGUUCCCUUCGUAGCUUCCUGGUGACCUGCUGAUUGUCCCCGUCAAGUGGGACAGAACGGAUGGCUGCUGGUUGUCUGCCUUGUCUCACUCUGAGUGCACUCGGAGAGGAUUUGUUGAAGAUUUUGUGACCUUUUCAGGUCCUCUUCCGCGUAUCUGGCCCUGUUCUGCGGCUCGCUGAUACGCUUGUUACGGCCACCUCUGCAGUUAGAUUAAAUCUUCCUCCGCUUUGUUCCGUUACACUCUCACCGACUGGGUCACACAAAGAAGCCUUCGUGGAAGAGAAACCAUUGGGGCUGGAGCAAACAGACUUAACAGUCCACACGGCGGGUCGCUUCAUGGUGCCAGAUGGCAAUUUUUCUACAUUUACUUUCAACGAAAA
Long non-coding RNA from Poecilia latipinna (sailfin molly), 1311 nucleotides. RefSeq lists it as uncharacterized. Lineage: Eukaryota; Metazoa; Chordata; Actinopteri; Cyprinodontiformes; Poeciliidae. The transcript has 3 exons. The record is from RefSeq and is a predicted model, not a curated record.